Molecule: ribosomal RNA, 497 nt
Filed under: uncultured bacterium
Lineage: Bacteria
Description: partial 16S ribosomal RNA
Rfam family: Bacterial small subunit ribosomal RNA
Source: RNAcentral
GAUGAACGCUGGCGGCGUGCCUAAUACAUGCAAGUCGAGCGAACAGAUGAGGAGCUUGCUCCUCUGACGUUAGCGGCGGACGGGUGAGUAACACGUGGAUAACCUACCUAUAAGACUGGGAUAACUUCGGGAAACCGGAGCUAAUACCGGAUAAUAUAUUGAACCGCAUGGUUCAAUAGUGAAAGACGGUUUUGCUGUCACUUAUAGAUGGAUCCGCGCCGCAUUAGCUAGUUGGUAAGGUAACGGCUUACCAAGGCAACGAUGCGUAGCCGACCUGAGAGGGUGAUCGGCCACACUGGAACUGAGACACGGUCCAGACUCCUACGGGAGGCAGCAGUAGGGAAUCUUCCGCAAUGGGCGAAAGCCUGACGGAGCAACGCCGCGUGAGUGAUGAAGGUCUUCAGAUCGUAAAACUCUGUUAUUAGGGAAGAACAAAUGGGUAAGUAACUAUGCACGUCUUGACGGUACCUAAUCAGAAAGCCACGGCUAACUACGUG